GACUGCAGGCUGCAACUCGCCUGCACGAAGUCGGAAUUGCUAGUAAUCGUAGGUCAGCAUACUACGGUGAAUACGUUCCCGGGCCUUGUACACACCGCCCGUCAAACCAUGAGAGUUGGCAACACCCGAAGUCGGUAGUCUAACCGCAAGGAGGACGCCGCCGAAGGUGGGGUUGAUGAUUAGGGUUAAGUCGUAACAAGGUAUC
Molecule: ribosomal RNA, 205 nt
Filed under: uncultured bacterium
Lineage: Bacteria
Description: partial 16S ribosomal RNA
Rfam family: Bacterial small subunit ribosomal RNA
Source: RNAcentral